GAACCUGAAACCGUGUACGUACAAGCAGUGGGAGCACCCUUUGGGUGUGACUGCGUACCUUUUGUAUAAUGGGUCAGCGACUUAUAUUCUGUAGCAAGGUUAACCGAAUAGGGGAGCCGGAGGGAAACCGAGUCUUAACCGGGCGUUAAGUUGCAGGGUAUAGACCCGAAACCCGGUGAUCUAGCCAUGGGCAGGUUGAAGGUUGGGUAACACUAACUGGAGGACCGAACCGACUAAUGUUGAAAAAUUAGCGGAUGACCUGUGGCUGGGGGUGAAAGGCCAAUCAAACCGGGAGAUAGCUGGUUCUCCCCGAAAGCUAUUUAGGUAGCGCCUCGUGAAUUCAUCUCCGGGGGUAGAGCACUGUUUCGGCUAGGGGGCCAUCCCGGCUUACCAACCCGAUGCAAACUGCGAAUACCGGAGAAUGUUAUCACGGGAGACACACGGCGGGUGCUAACGUCCGUCGUGAAGAGGGAAACAACCCAGACCGCCAGCUAAGGUCCCAAAGUCAUGGUUAAGUGGGAAACGAUGUGGGAAGGCCCAGACAGCCAGGAUGUUGGCUUAGAAGCAGCCAUCAUUUAAAGAAAGCGUAAUAGCUCACUGGUCGAGUCGGCCUGCGCGGAAGAUGUAACGGGGCUAAACCAUG
Molecule: ribosomal RNA, 643 nt
Filed under: Salmonella enterica
Lineage: Bacteria; Pseudomonadati; Pseudomonadota; Gammaproteobacteria; Enterobacterales; Enterobacteriaceae
Also listed under: 1 other name
Description: partial 23S ribosomal RNA
Rfam family: Bacterial large subunit ribosomal RNA
Source: RNAcentral